GACGAACGCUGGCGGCGUGCCUAACACAUGCGAGUCGAGCGGGGAUUUAAGUGGAAGUUCUUCGGAAUGGAGAUUUAAAUUCUAGCGGCGGACGGGUGAGUAACGCGUGAACAAUCUGUCCCGGACAGGGGGAUAACACUUGGAAACAGGUGCUAAUACCGCAUAAGACCACGGCCUCGCAUGGGGCUGAGGUAAAAGGAGCAAUCCGGUUCGGGGUGAGUUCGCGUCCGAUUAGCUAGUUGGUGAGGUAACGGCCCACCAAGGCGACGAUCGGUAGCCGGCCUGAGAGGGUGAACGGCCACAUUGGAACUGAGAGACGGUCCAAACUCCUACGGGAGGCAGCAGUGGGGAAUAUUGGGCAAUGGGCGAAAGCCUGACCCAGCAACGCCGCGUGAGGGAAGAAGGUUUUCGGAUUGUAAACCUCUGUCCUAUGGGACGAAGGAAGUGACGGUACCAUAGGAGGAAGCCCCGGCUAACUACGUG
Molecule: ribosomal RNA, 483 nt
Filed under: uncultured bacterium
Lineage: Bacteria
Description: partial 16S ribosomal RNA
Rfam family: Bacterial small subunit ribosomal RNA
Source: RNAcentral